Molecule: unclassified non-coding RNA, 1446 nt
Filed under: uncultured fungus
Lineage: Eukaryota; Fungi
Description: sequence contains 18S rRNA gene, ITS1, 5.8S rRNA gene, ITS2, 28S rRNA gene
Rfam family: Eukaryotic large subunit ribosomal RNA (bases 504-1446)
Source: RNAcentral
GGAAGGAUCAUUACCGAGUGCGGGCCCUCGCGGCCCAACCUCCCACCCUUGUCUCUAUACACCUGUUGCUUUGGCGGGCCCACCGGGGCCACCUGGUCGCCGGGGGACGUCGUCUCCGGGCCCGCGCCCGCCGAAGCGCUCUGUGAACCCUGAUGAAGAUGGGCUGUCUGAGUACUAUGAAAAUUGUCAAAACUUUCAACAAUGGAUCUCUUGGUUCCGGCAUCGAUGAAGAACGCAGCGAAAUGCGAUAAGUAAUGUGAAUUGCAGAAUUCCGUGAAUCAUCGAAUCUUUGAACGCACAUUGCGCCCCCUGGCAUUCCGGGGGGCAUGCCUGUCCGAGCGUCAUUUCUGCCCUCAAGCACGGCUUGUGUGUUGGGUGCGGUCCCCCCGGGGACCUGCCCGAAAGGCAGCGGCGACGUCCGUCUGGUCCUCGAGCGUAUGGGGCUCUGUCACUCGCUCGGGACGGACCUGCGGGGGUUGGUCACCACCAUAUUUUACCACGGUUGACCUCGGAUCAGGUAGGAGUUACCCGCUGAACUUAAGCAUAUCAAUAAGCGGAGGAAAAGAAACCAACCGGGAUUGCCUCAGUAACGGCGAGUGAAGCGGCAAGAGCUCAAAUUUGAAAUCUGGCCCCUUUGGGGUCCGAGUUGUAAUUUGCAGAGGAUGCUUCGGGUGCGGUCCCCAUCUAAGUGCCCUGGAACGGGCCGUCAUAGAGGGUGAGAAUCCCGUCUGGGAUGGGCGGCCGUGCCCGUGUGAAGCUCCUUCGACGAGUCGAGUUGUUUGGGAAUGCAGCUCUAAGCGGGUGGUAAAUUUCAUCUAAAGCUAAAUACUGGCCGGAGACCGAUAGCGCACAAGUAGAGUGAUCGAAAGAUGAAAAGCACUUUGAAAAGAGAGUUAAACAGCACGUGAAAUUGUUGAAAGGGAAGCGUUGUCCACCAGACUCGCCCGGGGGGGUUCAGCCGGCACGUGUGCCGGUGUACUCCUCUCCGGGCGGGCCAGCAUCGGUUUGGGCGGCUGGUGAAAGGCCCCGGGAAUGUAACACCCUUCGGGGUGCCUUAUAGCCCGGGGUGCCAUACAGCCAGCCUGGACCGAGGCCCGCGCUUCGGCGAGGAUGCUGGCGUAAUGGUGGUCAACGGCCCGUCUUGAAACACGGACCAAGGAGUCUAACAUCUAUGCGAGUGUUCGGGUGUCAAACCCGUCCGCGCAGUGAAAGCGAACGGAGGUGGGAGCCCCUCGGGGCGCACCAUCGACCGAUCCUGAUGUCUUCGGAUGGAUUUGAGUAAGAGCAUAGCUGUUGGGACCCGAAAGAUGGUGAACUAUGCCUGAAUAGGGCGAAGCCAGAGGAAACUCUGGUGGAGGCUCGCAGCGGUUCUGACGUGCAAAUCGAUCGUCAAAUUUGGGUAUAGGGGCGAAAGACUAAUCGAACCAUCUGGUAGCUGGUUCCUGC